RNAcentral lists this transfer RNA (81 nucleotides) under Pyrenophora seminiperda CCB06. RNAcentral describes it as "tRNA-Ser (GCT) (tRNA-Ser-GCT-2-1)". Lineage: Eukaryota; Fungi; Ascomycota; Dothideomycetes; Pleosporales; Pleosporaceae. The record is from RNAcentral.
GACGAACAGCCAGAGUGGUUAACGCGCUGGCCUGCUAAGCCAGUUCCUUCGGGAGCGUGUGUUCGAAUCACACAGGUGUCG